AUGUACACACACACAAAUUCACAUAUGGAUUUGAUUUGUGUGUAUAGCAGACUCUAUCGAAGACUUGAAUAAAUAAGAAAGAUACAUAACUUAAAAUUGGGUGUUAGAUGUCCUGAUCCUAGAAUGUUCAUUAGUUCUUUCAUCAACUGGGAGUAUUGCUUCUCAACCUUUUUCUCCCCUCUCUGCUUUCUUUAGUGGCCUCUCCUCUCAACUGAGCUCCUCCUGGCCACCUUUGCAUACCUUUGAUUAUUCAUGAAGGAUUGUCACUGAAAAGGACCCAUCCCCCUCGGGAGGCAGAUGUGCUUAUAACUUGCACCUCCCCUCCCUACAUAUUCCAAACCAGGAGGAUUUCUUAACCUUAACCCAUUUGUUGAAGAAGGGCAAGAAAAUGUGCUCCAAUCACAGGAAGAUGCUUCCUCCCAAGCUGAGCGAGACAAGGAGACAACCUGAUGCCAUCAUGGAAGCUGAAAAUCCUCACGCCUUUCAUUCUGUCUAGGGCUGACUGGAACCAGGGCUGGCUGAUCAGCUGUCAGGCUGCUUUUUAGCGAGGCUUGGAAAGUUCCAGCAAAAGCCCUGCCUUUGAACCGGAAUCACUCUGCCACCAUCUGCACAUGGAUCCUUUGUAGUGGAGACAGUGAUCUUUGUUCUGUAUAAAAACAGACUGGAACUCUUCUUGGGCCUGUCCCUCUGCUGACAAUUCCAACUAAGUGCAUUGCGUUGCUUUAAUAUCUGGCAGAGCGUGAAUUGUAAACACAUCAUUAGACUUAAAGGCUGCCCUGAGAUGGUGGCUGGAGGAGAACGGGGCCUGAAGAAAAGAGGAAUUUGGCUGAAAAUGAGCUGCUGAAUAAUUUAUCAUGAAUUGAAAUGUCAAUACCUUAAGUGAGGCAUGGUGAAGCUUCAGAACUCAGAGGUAAACACUGUGAGGAUGUAAUUCUGGAGAGAACAUUACCAAAAGCCGUGGCUCUUUGGAAAGAGCAGGAGGCAGAGGGACCCUGGCUGGGUGUGGGC
Molecule: long non-coding RNA, 1008 nt
Filed under: Pan troglodytes (chimpanzee)
Lineage: Eukaryota; Metazoa; Chordata; Mammalia; Primates; Hominidae
Description: lncRNA (ENSPTRG00000054288.1)
Source: RNAcentral